CCGCCCGCGCGGCGCCCGUCCCCAGGUCCCGGCGCCCCUCUCGGGGCCACCGAAGGGUCUGAGGGCUCGGGCGGAGGUCGGCGCGAUCCGAGCCCGUGGGAGCCUCCCCGGUCCGCAGUCCCAGCCGCCAAACGAGCUCGGUCGGACGGACGCUCGCGCUGAGCUAUAAAAUCUGCCCACCACCUCCUGGUGAGGGAAGUCAAGACCAGAGCCUGCUGCAGAAGCCGAUCUGGACUGACCAGCUUUGCAUGCGUGGACCCGACGGCUUGCUGAAGGCCCGUGGAAGCUGGUGAGACACCCCCUCC
Molecule: long non-coding RNA, 305 nt
Organism: Phyllostomus discolor (pale spear-nosed bat)
Lineage: Eukaryota; Metazoa; Chordata; Mammalia; Chiroptera; Phyllostomidae
Exons: 3
Source: RefSeq, a predicted model, not a curated record